GACGAACGCUGGCGGCGUGCUUAACACAUGCAAGUCGAACGGAAAGGCCCUGCUUUUGUGGGGUGCUCGAGUGGCGAACGGGUGAGUAACACGUGAGUAACCUGCCCUUGACUUUGGGAUAACUUCAGGAAACUGGGGCUAAUACCGGAUAGGAGCUCCUGCUGCAUGGUGGGGGUUGGAAAGUUUCGGCGGUUGGGGAUGGACUCGCGGCUUAUCAGCUUGUUGGUGGGGUAGUGGCUUACCAAGGCUUUGACGGGUAGCCGGCCUGAGGGGGUGACCGGCCACAUUGGGACUGAGAUACGGCCCAGACUCCUACGGGAGGCAGCAGUGGGGAAUAUUGCACAAUGGGCGGAAGCCUGAUGCAGCAACGCCGCGUGCGGGAUGACGGCCUUCGGGUUGUAAACCGCUUUCGCCUGUGACGAAGCGUGAGUGACGGUAAUGGGUAAAGAAGCACCGGCUAACUACGUGCCAGCAGCCGCGGUGAUACGUAGGGUGCGAGCGUUGUCCGGAUUUAUUGGGCGUAAAGGGCUCGUAGGUGGUUGAUCGCGUCGGAAGUGUAAUCUUGGGGCUUAACCCUGAGCGUGCUUUCGAUACGGGUUGACUUGAGGAAGGUAGGGGAGAAUGGAAUUCCUGGUGGAGCGGUGGAAUGCGCAGAUAUCAGGAGGAACACCAGUGGCGAAGGCGGUUCUCUGGGCCUUUCCUGACGCUGAGGAGCGAAAGCGUGGGGAGCGAACAGGCUUAGAUACCCUGGUAGUCCACGCUGUAAACGGUGGGUACUAGGUGUGGGGUCCAUUCCACGGGUUCCGUGCCGUAGCUAACGCUUUAAGUACCCCGCCUGGGGAGUACGGCCGCAAGGCUAAAACUCAAAGGAAUUGACGGGGCCCCGCACAAGCGGCGGAGCAUGCGGAUUAAUUCGAUGCAACGCGUAGAACCUUACCUGGGUUUGACAUGGAUCGGGAGCGCUCAGAGAUGGGUGUGCCUCUUUUGGGGUCGGUUCACAGGUGGUGCAUGGCUGUCGUCAGCUCGUGUCGUGAGAUGUUGGGUUAAGUCCCGCAACGAGCGCAACCCUUGUUCACUGUUGCCAGCACGUUAUGGUGGGGACUCAGUGGAGACCGCCGGGGUCAACUCGGAGGAAGGUGGGGAUGACGUCAGGUCAUCAUGCCCCUUAUGUCCAGGGCUUCACGCAUGCUACAAUGGCUGGUACAGAGAGUGGCGAGCCUGUGAGGGUGAGCGAAUCUCGGAAAGCCGGUCUCAGUUCGGAUUGGGGUCUGCAACUCGACCUCAUGAAGUCGGAGUCGCUAGUAAUCGCAGAUCAGCAACGCUGCGGUGAAUACGUUCCCGGG
RNAcentral lists this ribosomal RNA (1343 nucleotides) under uncultured bacterium. Its description in RNAcentral is "16S ribosomal RNA". It matches the Rfam family "Bacterial small subunit ribosomal RNA", at positions 28 to 1378 of the family's 1533-position model. The record is from RNAcentral.